AGAGGGCGACCGGCCACACUGGGACUGAGACACGGCCCAGACUCUACGGGAGGCAGCAGUGGGGAAUAUUGCACAAUGGGCGAAAGCCUGAUGCAGCGACGCCGCGUGAGGGAUGAAGGCCUUCGGGUUGUAAACCUCUUUCAGCAGGGAAGAAGCGCAAGUGACGGUACCUGCAGAAGAAGCGCCGGCUAACUACGUGCCAGCAGCCGCGGUAAUACGUAGGGCGCAAGCGUUGUCCGGAAUUAUUGGGCGUAAAGAGCUCGUAGGCGGUUUGUCGCGUCUGGUGUGAAAACUCGAGGCUCAACCUCGAGCUUGCAUCGGGUACGGGCAGACUAGAGUGCGGUAGGGGAGACUGGAAUUCCUGGUGUAGCGGUGGAAUGCGCAGAUAUCAGGAGGAACACCGAUGGCGAAGGCAGGUCUCUGGGCCGCAACUGACGCUGAGGAGCGAAAGCAUGGGGAGCGAACAGGAUUAGAUACCCUGGUAGUCCAUGCCGUAAACGUUGGGCACUAGGUGUGGGGCUCAUUCCACGAGUUCCGUGCCGCAGCAAACGCAUUAAGUGCCCCGCCUGGGGAGUACGGCCGCAAGGCUAAAACUCAAAGGAAUUGACGGGGGCCCGCACAAGCGGCGGAGCAUGCGGAUUAAUUCGAUGCAACGCGAAGAACCUUACCAAGGCUUGACAUGCACGGGAAGCCACCAGAGAUGGUGGUCUCUUUGGACACUCGUGCACAGGUGGUGCAUGGUUGUCGUCAGCUCGUGUCGUGAGAUGUUGGGUUAAGUCCCGCAACGAGCGCAACCCUCGUCCCAUGUUGCCAGCGGGUUAUGCCGGGGACUCAUGGGAGACUGCCGGGGUCAACUCGGAGGAAGGUGGGGAUGACGUCAAAUCAUCAUGCCCCUUAUGUCUUGGGCUUCACGCAUGCUACAAUGGCCGGUACAAAGGGCUGCGAUACCGUAAGGUGGAGCGAAUCCCAAAAAGCCGGUCUCAGUUCGGAUUGGGGUCUGCAACUCGACCCCAUGAAGU
RNAcentral lists this ribosomal RNA (1019 nucleotides) under Cellulosimicrobium funkei. RNAcentral's name for it is "bacterial SSU rRNA". It matches the Rfam family "Bacterial small subunit ribosomal RNA", at positions 295 to 1326 of the family's 1533-position model. The record is from RNAcentral. Lineage: Bacteria; Bacillati; Actinomycetota; Actinomycetes; Micrococcales; Promicromonosporaceae.